GAUGAACGCUGGCGGCGUGCCUAAUACAUGCAAGUCGAGCGAACAGACGAGGAGCUUGCUCCUCUGACGUUAGCGGCGGACGGGUGAGUAACACGUGGAUAACCUACCUAUAAGACUGGGAUAACUUCGGGAAACCGGAGCUAAUACCGGAUAAUAUAUUGAACCGCAUGGUUCAAUAGUGAAAGACGGUUUUGCUGUCACUUAUAGAUGGAUCCGCGCCGCAUUAGCUAGUUGGUAAGGUAACGGCUUACCAAGGCAACGAUGCGUAGCCGACCUGAGAGAGUGAUCGGCCACACUGGAGCUGAGACACGGUCCAGACUCCUACGGGAGGCAGCAGUAGGGAAUCUUCCGCAAUGGGCGAAAGCAUGACGGAGCAACGCCGCGUGAGUGAUGAAGGUCUUCGGAUCGUAAAGCUCUGUUAUUAGGGAAGAACAAAUGUGUAAGUAACUAUGCACGUCUUGACGGUACCUAAUCAGAAAGCCACGGCUAACUACGUG
Molecule: ribosomal RNA, 497 nt
Filed under: uncultured bacterium
Lineage: Bacteria
Description: partial 16S ribosomal RNA
Rfam family: Bacterial small subunit ribosomal RNA
Source: RNAcentral